AUACGUAGGGGGCGAGCGUUGUCCGGAAUUAUUGGGCGUAAAGGGUGCGUAGGCGGCUGAACAAGUCAGAUGUGAAAGGUUAAGGCUUAACUUUAAUAAGCAUAUGAAACUGUUCAGCUUGAGUUAAGGAGAGGGGAGUGGAAUUCCUAGUGUAGCGGUGAAAUGCGUAGAUAUUAGGAGGAAUACCAGUGGCGAAGGCGACUCUCUGGACUUAAACUGACGCUGAGGCACGAAAGCGUGGGGAGCAAACAGGAUUAGAUACCCUGGUAGUCCACGCCGUAAACGAUGAGUGCUAGGUGUUGGGUGUCAAAGCUCAGUGCCGCAGCUAACGCAAUAAGCACUCCGCCUGGGGAGUACGGCCGCAAGGUUGAA
RNAcentral lists this ribosomal RNA (372 nucleotides) under uncultured bacterium. RNAcentral describes it as "bacterial SSU rRNA". It matches the Rfam family "Bacterial small subunit ribosomal RNA", at positions 523 to 898 of the family's 1533-position model. The record is from RNAcentral.